Scylla paramamosain (green mud crab) is the source of this 3453-nucleotide long non-coding RNA. RefSeq lists it as uncharacterized. NCBI's taxonomy places the organism in Eukaryota, Metazoa, Arthropoda, Malacostraca, Decapoda, Portunidae. The record is from RefSeq and is a predicted model, not a curated record. The transcript is spliced from 4 exons.
GUCUAACACCUUUAUAAACUUAAUUUUUUACUAUUUCACAUACUUUUGGUGCCCGGAAAGCAUUGGGGAAGCUGCAAUAUAAGUUUUUGCUAGGCUUUGACACCUGUGCUGCCGAGGUGGCCGGAAAGCAUGUCGUACGAAAUUAUCCGAACUGGAAAGUUUGAGAAGCGGCUCAGGUAAGGCAAGAAGUGAUGUGAGUGCACGUAAGGUAGGAAGCAGACACAGGCAUCACGUGUACACAGGCACCACACGUACGCACGAGGAUGUGAGGGCGGGAUACUGCCAUGAUGAACACCUGCAUACCUUCCUUAAACAUUCCAUUCACAAACACAGUGUUCCGAUCGAGUGCCUGUGACAUAAAUCUAUUUUACUCUGAUAUGACAUCAAAACACAAUUCAACAACUAUCAUGAUAAAAAUCUUGUGUUAUAUUGAGGUUAGGCACUCAGCUGGAAAAAAAGGGACAAGCACAGCAGAUAAACAGGUAGAAAGGCACGCAUAUAGACAGGUAGACAGACAGACAGGCAAGGAGAUAGACAGGCAUGCAUAUAGACAGAUAGAGACAGACAGACAAGCACCUGAACAAACACAUAAGCCGAUAGACAGACAGAUAGACAGGCAGACGAGCAGACCAACAGGGAAGCAUGUUGUACAAUUAUGGACAAAAGACGAAGUGAAAGAUUGGAAAGGAAAACAGGUAGAGAAUCAAGUAAACAAUCAGACAGGCAAAUAAACAGAAAGACAAGCUGACAUAUGAAGGGAAGACAGGCAGACAGGAAGGAAAACACCGAGAAGAGAUGCAGGAAGGAAGACAAACAGAUAGAUAGACAGAAAGACGGGGAGGUAAACAGAUAAAGAGAGAGACACAUGCAGGAAGGAACGCAGACAUGCCUUAGUCUCUCAUGGUGACGUAGACAAGACGUGACCUGAAAUAACGAAAGCAGCAAGGAGAUGGUGCUUGCCUGCUACGCUUCACUCCUUCAAGGCCACGAGGUUUGUUGACGCGUGCAUUCUCAACCUCGUCUCUCUCAGAACUGUCACACUUAACGCGAAAUAAUUGAGGUCUGGUAUGGCAUCACACUGACUGUUGCUGCACGGAGAGGACAGCACCACACGCUGCAGCACAAACAGCUCUGCUGCAUGGACACAAUGCUUCCCAUCACCCUGGCUCUUCCAUCUCAGGCUCUGGGAAGUUUCAGUGAUGUCCUCAGACAGUUCAUUGUGAUAGGAUGCUACAGAGAGCGAGUGCUGUCACUCCUCAGGUGGUCAGUUGUCACUAGGCUGUUGCUGCCCUUCAUGCAAAGGUACACAACACUGCCACUGGAGAAUACAUACAGGAAAUAUAAACUGGCUUCAGUAAACUAAUGCUACGGCAUUGUAUGCGGGCGGGAAAAGUUCUAAGUAAUGUAAUUGUGCUGAAUCAUAAACAACCACAUAGAAAAAUAAUUCAAUCUAGAAAAAAGUAAAAUCAAAAUGUAAAGAACAUAUACAUAAAGUAAACACUGGUUUCAAAGCCCUAGAACAGCUUUGCUGUCACUGGGCAACAUUUACAAAACUGUUCUCAGUACAGGAAUGGACUAAGGGGUGUUGACACAAAUGAUGCCCAAGAAUAUAACUUCCUUCGAAUAACAUUCAAGUUUAAAAAUGAAGGAGUAACAAGCUUGCUGAAGGUGGUGUUUGAAGGAAUGCAACACUCCCUGGUGAUGUGGACUGCCUGUACAUAUCAACAAUAUCUCCUACACCACAUGCUUCACCUUCAGUGUGUGAAAACAAUCAUCAUAAAGGGAAAUGUCCAAUACAGACAAAUGUGUAUAUGAUAAGUAUUGAAAUACUGCACAUAUCUGUACAGAAUAUAAUGCCAUCUGCCACUGUGUAAUGAUAUAUGUAUGUAUGUACAUUUAAAUAUAUAUAUAUAUUUCUUAUAAUAAAUUCUCAACCACAAAUAGUACUUAAUGAUGCUGUUGAUGACAGCGUCAUGAAAGAAAGCUAUGACAGCAGUAGAGUUUAAGAAAAGGUAAAAGGAGGUAACAUUACAAACAGUGCUCAACAGAAAAACAAUUUUGCUGCAGUGUUACUGGAACCUGAGGCCUUUAAGCAACACCAAAGAGGUUGUGCCCACCAACUGGCCUUGAAAAUUGUUGGUGCACAGAGGGAGGGAUUGCAAUCACUUGGGGAUUACUUGCAAACUUGGUUAUCCAUAGGAUGAUGGGUGGGGUUGGGAGGCUCAAGUAAUCAGGGUAUUCAAAAUGUGGUUCCAAUACUGCCCUUGAGAAUAGGGCUUGGGAUCUCCUUUUAAAGACACCUCAAUUUGCUUCAUAGAAACUGAAGGGCCAGCAAACUUUUCUGCACUUUUUUUCCUGAUAAUGAUCCAUUACUUUAUGAUUUGACCCUCACUUUGCCUUCCCUUGGACACAUGCGUCCCUUGUGAUACAACAACCCUGUGGAUGCCCCAGCUUGCAGCUACAGUUGGACAUGUUCAGAAUGUGUUUACAUACAAUUAUGGUGCAAAAAUUUAAAGAACAACUCUGGAAUUUCACACAACAGUUCAUUCACAGUGGCUGAAGAUGUGUGGAUAUGGAAAGCUGGUUGGAAAUUCUUAAUAAAGCACAAGAAUUUAUGUGACUCAGCCUGACUUUGUCUGGAUAGAUGAUAGGCAUCCAACACCCAUGCUGGCCUCUGUCCACCACCACCACCUUCACCACUCCAAGGGAAAGGCUGAUGGACUGUGAUUCUGUGCUUGCCGAGGGAAAACUGUGAUGGCACAAACUGCACUAAGUAGUAAUAAUGUUAAAAGUUACUUAUCAACCACAUCAACUACUGAAGUAUGCCUUCCUCCUCUCCCACUCCUCAAACCUGAUUUACAUAGCACGUCUCCCCAUUCCUCACACCAGACUUAAAAAACAUAGCAUUCCUCAGAAAGGCAAGUUCAAGUUAAUACUUAAGUCUUAUAACAUACUCUAUGGCAAAAUCCAAGAUAUAAAUUCCAAUGACAGGUACAUAUAUUUCGUGCAAUGUUAAUCUGUAGUAGUCAAAGAAGAGUAACCUUUUGGCUAUUCCACACUCCCUCUUGAUAUAAAGCAUUGCUAAUGGAGAAUAGUUUACUGCAGUUAGAAAUAUUCCUUUGUCAAUAACAUCCAUGAGUUCACUGUGAGAUAAAAAUCAAUAACAGGUAAGUAAUAUUUGGAAUUGGAAAGCGUGAUUCACACCAUAACUUUAUAACAAGUCAAACAAACCCGCUGGUGGAUUCACGUGUCCUGCCUCAAUACACAGUACUGAGGGGAGCACACUGCCUACUGCACCAGCCUGUCCUGCAUGGAGCAUGUGGCAUGGCCAACACACCUCACUGAUACAACCAGACACCCAUAAUGCCAUGCCAAAACCAUCGUUCACACACACACACACACACACACACACACACACACACACACACACACACACACACAAGCACACACACG